CAGUCUGAUGGAGCACGCCGCGUGAGUGAAGAAGGGUUUCGGCUCGUAAAGCUCUGUUGUUAAAGAAGAACGUGGGUAAGAGUAACUGUUUACCCAGUGACGGUAUUUAACCAGAAAGCCACGGCUAACUACGUGCCAGCAGCCGCGGUAAUACGUAGGUGGCAAGCGUUAUCCGGAUUUAUUGGGCGUAAAGCGAGCGCAGGCGGUCUUUUAAGUCUAAUGUGAAAGCCUUCGGCUCAACCGAAGAAGUGCAUUGGAAACUGGGAGACUUGAGUGCAGAAGAGGACAGUGGAACUCCAUGUGUAGCGGUGAAAUGCGUAGAUAUAUGGAAGAACACCAGUGGCGAAGGCGGCUGUCUGGUCUGCAACUGACGCUGAGGCUCGAAAGCAUGGGUAGCGAACAGGAUUAGAUACCCUGGUAGUCCAUGCCGUAAACGAUGAUUACUAAGUGUUGGAGGGUUUCCGCCCUUCAGUGCUGCAGCUAACGCAUUAAGUAAUCCGCCUGGGGAGUACGACCGCAAGGUUGAAACUCAAAAGAAUUGACGGGGGCCCGCACAAGCGGUGGAGCAUGUGGUUUAAUUCGAAGCUACGCGAAGAACCUUACCAGGUCUUGACAUCUUCUGACAGUCUAAGAGAUUAGAGGUUCCCUUCGGGGACAGAAUGACAGGUGGUGCAUGGUUGUCGUCAGCUCGUGUCGUGAGAUGUUGGGUUAAGUCCCGCAACGAGCGCAACCCUUAUUACUAGUUGCCAGCAUUAAGUUGGGCACUCUAGUGAGACUGCCGGUGACAAACCGGAGGAAGGUGGGGACGACGUCAAAUCAUCAUGCCCCUUAUGACCUGGGCUACACACGUGCUACAAUGGAUGGUACAACGAGUCGCGAGACCGCGAGGUUAAGCUAAUCUCUUAAAACCAUUCUCAGUUCGGACUGUAGGCUGCAACUCGCCUACACGAAGUCGG
RNAcentral lists this ribosomal RNA (956 nucleotides) under Pediococcus pentosaceus. Its description in RNAcentral is "bacterial SSU rRNA". It matches the Rfam family "Bacterial small subunit ribosomal RNA", at positions 379 to 1329 of the family's 1533-position model. Lineage: Bacteria; Bacillati; Bacillota; Bacilli; Lactobacillales; Lactobacillaceae. The record is from RNAcentral.